UAUUACAGAUUGAGAUGUACAGAGAUUAAGUGAUAUGUUUUUGCAAAGGACGCACAGAAUGUUUAUACAGUGUAAAGGAUUGGAUAUACAUGAUAGGAUUGAUUGGAAGCCACUUAUGAAAACAAUGAAG
This is a long non-coding RNA of Haliotis rubra (blacklip abalone), 130 nucleotides long. RefSeq lists it as uncharacterized. The transcript has 2 exons. The record is from RefSeq and is a predicted model, not a curated record. NCBI's taxonomy places the organism in Eukaryota, Metazoa, Mollusca, Gastropoda, Lepetellida, Haliotidae.